GACGAACGCUGGCGGCGUGCUUAACACAUGCAAGUCGAACGGAAAGGCCCUGCUUUUGGGGGGUGCUCGAGUUGCGAACGGGUGAGUAACACGUGGGUAACCUGCCCUUGACUUUGGGAUAACUUCAGGAAACUGGGGCUAAUAGCGGAUAGGAGCUCCUGCUGCAUGGUGGGGGUGGGAAAGUUUCGGCGGUUGGGGAUGGACUAGCGGCUUAUCAGCUUGUUGGUUGGGUAGUGGAUUACCAAGGCUUUGACGGGUAGCCGGCCUGAGAGGGUGACCGGCUACAUUGGGACUGAGCUACGGCCCAGACUCCUCCGGGAGGCAGCAGUGGGGAAUAUUGCACAAUGGGCGGAGCCAUGAUGCAGCACCGCAGCGUGGCGGAUGACGGCCUUCCCGUUGUAAACCGCUUUCGCCUGUGACGAAGCGUGAGUGACGGUACUGGGUAAAGAAGCACCGGCUAACUACGUG
This 468-nucleotide ribosomal RNA is filed under the name uncultured bacterium. RNAcentral's name for it is "partial 16S ribosomal RNA". It matches the Rfam family "Bacterial small subunit ribosomal RNA", at positions 28 to 507 of the family's 1533-position model. The record is from RNAcentral.